CCCUGCUGCUGCUGCUGCUGCUAAGUCGCUUCAGUCGUGUCCGACUCUGUGCGACCCCAUAGACGGCAGCCCACCAGGCCCCGCCGUCCCUGGGAUUCUCCAGGCAAGAACACUGGAGUGGGUUGCCAUUUCCUCCUCCAAUGCAUGAAAGUGAAAAGUGAAAGUGAAGUCGCUCAGUCGUAUCCGACUCUUAGCGACCCCAUGGACUGCAGCCUACCAGGCUCCUCCGUCCAUGGGAUUUUCCAGGCAAGAUAGCUGGCGAGGUGAGGAUUGCCAGUCCUGGAAGGAUGAGGUAAAGUUAAAUCGGGUACAGCAGCAGAAUCAAGGAGGAGGAAGAUCUUGCUCCAAACCCUGAGGGACGGGACGAGAUAUGACAACGAGCAGGAGAAAAAGAAAGAAAGCAAAGUCUCAGCCUGGCUUCUGAGUUUCAAAAGCAGCCGUUGGUCUGGACACGACAUGCAGGUUCGUCUGGGAGCAUCCUGCUCACUCCCGUUGCCUCUAAGCUCCCUCCUCCCUUCACCCUCCUACCCUCGUGAUCAUUGCCUGCACCUGCAGUUCCCCUGGGGAGUCCUCUCUGAGCCUUCUCUGCAGGCUCAGCCUCCAGCAAAAAGAGCCCCGUGUUCUAACUCAAGAGGACUCAGCUGAGGGACGCCCACCAGAGAUGACCUCAGCAACCCCUCCAGUCGCUCAGUCAACAAGUACUUAUCGAAGGUCUUCCCUGCGCCAGAUGCUGUUUCAGAUGCUGGACAUUCAGCAGUGAACAAACAGACAAAAACCUCUGCCCUUGUGGGCUCGCAUCCCAGUACUGUUACCAUAGUAACAGGCCUUGAGCACCACUCGGUCCCCCCACAUCUGUCCCGAGAGUUGGAAACAUCCUGAUGGCACAGACAGCACUUCCCUCCGGGGUCUCCACGAAGCUGGGGUGUCACUGGCACAGCUCUUUCUCUCCCCUUGACCCGGCUCCCCCGAGGCCACGGGUAUCACGGGGCAAGGGUGCGCCUGGCACAGCGCUGGUAUGAGGCCGUGAUUGUCAGACUCAGCAGUGGCUUUGGCAGUUCAAGCGCCUUCAGCUACCAUUGCCGUUUGGUGUGUUUCUGUUUUGCUCUAACUGAAACUUAGUGCUUCUCUUUCAAUGUAUUUUCAAUCUGUUAUGUAAUUGCAUAUCAUUACAUAAUAGUAAAAAAAAAAAAAAUUUGUGUCCCUAUUGUUCAUAAAAUUGUCCUGUUUUAGGAAAUAACUUACCUGGAAGCUUGACUCACCUAGAGUGGGGCACGUCAGGUCAAGCGCUCUGCGGUACCAUUCAUCUGUUCAGGUAGCAUUAGUUGAACAUCUGCCCCCACAGCAGAUGCCGAGAGUGGGAGUGGGAGCCCAGGGAGACCCCUGUUUAGAGAGGCCUGUUUUC
RNAcentral lists this long non-coding RNA (1402 nucleotides) under Bos indicus x Bos taurus (hybrid cattle). RNAcentral's name for it is "lncRNA (ENSBIXG00005013217.1)". The record is from RNAcentral. Lineage: Eukaryota; Metazoa; Chordata; Mammalia; Artiodactyla; Bovidae.